RNAcentral lists this ribosomal RNA (495 nucleotides) under uncultured bacterium. RNAcentral describes it as "partial 16S ribosomal RNA". It matches the Rfam family "Bacterial small subunit ribosomal RNA", at positions 29 to 506 of the family's 1533-position model. The record is from RNAcentral.
AUGAACGCUGGCGGCGUGCCUAAUACAUGCAAGUCGAGCGCACGGACGAGAAGCUUGCUUCUCUGAUGUUAGCGGCGGACGGGUGAGUAACACGUGGAUAACCUACCUAUAAGACUGGGAUAACUUCGGGAAACCGGAGCUAAUACCGGAUAAUAUUUUGAACCGCAUGGUUCAAAAGUGAAAGACGGUCUUGCUGUCACUUAUAGAUGGAUCCGCGCUGCAUUAGCUAGUUGGUAAGGUAACGGCUUACCAAGGCAACGAUGCAUAGCCGACCUGAGAGGGUGAUCGGCCACACUGGAACUGAGACACGGUCCAGACUCCUACGGGAGGCAGCAGUAGGGAAUCUUCCGCAAUGGGCGAAAGCCUGACGGAGCAACGCCGCGUGAGUGAUGAAGGUCUUCGGAUCGUAAAACUCUGUUAUUAGGGAAGAACAUAUGUGUAAGUAACUGUGCACAUCUUGACGGGACCUAAUCAGAAAGCCACGGCUAACUACGU